Molecule: ribosomal RNA, 2401 nt
Filed under: Escherichia coli
Lineage: Bacteria; Pseudomonadati; Pseudomonadota; Gammaproteobacteria; Enterobacterales; Enterobacteriaceae
Description: partial 23S ribosomal RNA
Rfam family: Bacterial large subunit ribosomal RNA
Source: RNAcentral
CGGGACACGUGGUAUCCUGUCUGAAUAUGGGGGGACCAUCCUCCAAGGCUAAAUACUCCUGACUGACCGAUAGUGAACCAGUACCGUGAGGGAAAGGCGAAAAGAACCCCGGCGAGGGGAGUGAAAAAGAACCUGAAACCGUGUACGUACAAGCAGUGGGAGCACGCUUAGGCGUGUGACUGCGUACCUUUUGUAUAAUGGGUCAGCGACUUAUAUUCUGUAGCAAGGUUAACCGAAUAGGGGAGCCGAAGGGAAACCGAGUCUUAACUGGGCGUUAAGUUGCAGGGUAUAGACCCGAAACCCGGUGAUCUAGCCAUGGGCAGGUUGAAGGUUGGGUAACACUAACUGGAGGACCGAACCGACUAAUGUUGAAAAAUUAGCGGAUGACUUGUGGCUGGGGGUGAAAGGCCAAUCAAACCGGGAGAUAGCUGGUUCUCCCCGAAAGCUAUUUAGGUAGCGCCUCGUGAAUUCAUCUCCGGGGGUAGAGCACUGUUUCGGCAAGGGGGUCAUCCCGACUUACCAACCCGAUGCAAACUGCGAAUACCGGAGAAUGUUAUCACGGGAGACACACGGCGGGUGCUAACGUCCGUCGUGAAGAGGGAAACAACCCAGACCGCCAGCUAAGGUCCCAAAGUCAUGGUUAAGUGGGAAACGAUGUGGGAAGGCCCAGACAGCCAGGAUGUUGGCUUAGAAGCAGCCAUCAUUUAAAGAAAGCGUAAUAGCUCACUGGUCGAGUCGGCCUGCGCGGAAGAUGUAACGGGGCUAAACCAUGCACCGAAGCUGCGGCAGCGACGCUUAUGCGUUGUUGGGUAGGGGAGCGUUCUGUAAGCCUGUGAAGGUGUACUGUGAGGUAUGCUGGAGGUAUCAGAAGUGCGAAUGCUGACAUAAGUAACGAUAAAGCGGGUGAAAAGCCCGCUCGCCGGAAGACCAAGGGUUCCUGUCCAACGUUAAUCGGGGCAGGGUGAGUCGACCCCUAAGGCGAGGCCGAAAGGCGUAGUCGAUGGGAAACAGGUUAAUAUUCCUGUACUUGGUGUUACUGCGAAGGGGGGACGGAGAAGGCUAUGUUGGCCGGGCGACGGUUGUCCCGGUUUAAGCGUGUAGGCUGGUUUUCCAGGCAAAUCCGGAAAAUCAAGGCUGAGGCGUGAUGACGAGGCACUACGGUGCUGAAGCAACAAAUGCCCUGCUUCCAGGAAAAGCCUCUAAGCAUCAGGUAACAUCAAAUCGUACCCCAAACCGACACAGGUGGUCAGGUAGAGAAUACCAAGGCGCUUGAGAGAACUCGGGUGAAGGAACUAGGCAAAAUGGUGCCGUAACUUCGGGAGAAGGCACGCUGAUAUGUAGGUGAAGUCCCUCGCGGAUGGAGCUGAAAUCAGUCGAAGAUACCAGCUGGCUGCAACUGUUUAUUAAAAACACAGCACUGUGCAAACACGAAAGUGGACGUAUACGGUGUGACGCCUGCCCGGUGCCGGAAGGUUAAUUGAUGGGGUUAGCGCAAGCGAAGCUCUUGAUCGAAGCCCCGGUAAACGGCGGCCGUAACUAUAACGGUCCUAAGGUAGCGAAAUUCCUUGUCGGGUAAGUUCCGACCUGCACGAAUGGCGUAAUGAUGGCCAGGCUGUCUCCACCCGAGACUCAGUGAAAUUGAACUCGCUGUGAAGAUGCAGUGUACCCGCGGCAAGACGGAAAGACCCCGUGAACCUUUACUAUAGCUUGACACUGAACAUUGAGCCUUGAUGUGUAGGAUAGGUGGGAGGCUUUGAAGUGUGGACGCCAGUCUGCAUGGAGCCGACCUUGAAAUACCACCCUUUAAUGUUUGAUGUUCUAACGUGGACCCGUAAUCCGGGUUGCGGACAGUGUCUGGUGGGUAGUUUGACUGGGGCGGUCUCCUCCUAAAGAGUAACGGAGGAGCACGAAGGUUGGCUAAUCCUGGUCGGACAUCAGGAGGUUAGUGCAAUGGCAUAAGCCAGCUUGACUGCGAGCGUGACGGCGCGAGCAGGUGCGAAAGCAGGUCAUAGUGAUCCGGUGGUUCUGAAUGGAAGGGCCAUCGCUCAACGGAUAAAAGGUACUCCGGGGAUAACAGGCUGAUACCGCCCAAGAGUUCAUAUCGACGGCGGUGUUUGGCACCUCGAUGUCGGCUCAUCACAUCCUGGGGCUGAAGUAGGUCCCAAGGGUAUGGCUGUUCGCCAUUUAAAGUGGUACGCGAGCUGGGUUUAGAACGUCGUGAGACAGUUCGGUCCCUAUCUGCCGUGGGCGCUGGAGAAUUGAGGGGGGCUGCUCCUAGUACGAGAGGACCGGAGUGGACGCAUCACUGGUGUUCGGGUUGUCAUGCCAAUGGCACUGCCCGGUAGCUAAAUGCGGAAGAGAUAAGUGCUGAAAGCAUCUAAGCACGAAACUUGCCCCGAGA